AUUGAACGCUGGCGGCAGGCCUAACACAUGCAAGUCGAACGGUAGCACAGAGAGCUUGCUCUCGGGUGACGAGUGGCGGACGGUGAGUAACGUCUGGGAAACUGCCCGAUGGAGGGGGAUAACUACUGGAAACGGUAGCUAAUACCGCAUAACGUCGCAAGACCAAAGUGGGGGACCUUCGGGCCUCACACCAUCGGAUGUGCCCAGAUGGGAUUAGCUAGUAGGUGGGGUAAUGGCUCACCUAGGCGACGAUCCCUAGCUGGUCUGAGAGGAUGACCAGCCACACUGGAACUGAGACACGGUCCAGACUCCUACGGGAGGCAGCAGUGGGGAAUAUUGCACAAUGGGCGCAAGCCUGAUGCAGCCGUGCCGCGUGUAUGAAGAAGGCCUUCGGGUUGUAAAGUACUUUCAGCGGGGAGGAAGGCGGUGAAGUUAAUAACUUCACCGAUUGACGUUACCCGCAGAAGAAACACCGGCUAACUCCGUGCCAGCAGCCGCGGUAA
RNAcentral lists this ribosomal RNA (503 nucleotides) under uncultured bacterium. RNAcentral's name for it is "partial 16S ribosomal RNA". It matches the Rfam family "Bacterial small subunit ribosomal RNA", at positions 30 to 523 of the family's 1533-position model. The record is from RNAcentral.